Long non-coding RNA from Perca fluviatilis (European perch), 2242 nucleotides. RefSeq lists it as uncharacterized. The transcript is spliced from 12 exons. Lineage: Eukaryota; Metazoa; Chordata; Actinopteri; Perciformes; Percidae. The record is from RefSeq and is a predicted model, not a curated record.
UACUAUAGAGAGAACCUCAGCAAACCCUUUUUUUGUGGAAAAAAUACUUUUUGGAAUAUUGGAUUGUAUGAGAUCGGCAAUCGACUAGUGUUGGCUUCACCGGAAAACAAUAAAUCAACAGAGCUAUGAUAAAAUUACAUCCACUCCGCUGACACACACUCAAUGGGCCAGACCCCAGCCACCAGCUGUGUCCACAAUUCAGGAGUCACUGUCUGAUCGAGAAGCGAAUUUCUCUGUGGAGGGAGUUGAGAAAAUGGCCAGCAGUAGUAGCAGUGAGGAAGAAAGAAGAACUGUUCUACAAGAAGAAGCAAGGAUUGACUGGGAUGAUGACACAUGGGAUGAAACUUGGACUCCAGAUACAGAGACACAAUCACAGUCAUCCUCAGAAAAAGAUGAGACUGAGGAGGUUGAUCUCUCAGAAGAACACGAGACCUGUGAAACCCCCACUGACGUGGAUGAAGCAGAAGACCUGGAUCCUCAAAUUUGCAUUAGGUAUGUGUAUUAUUAUUAUUUUAUCAUUUUGUAAUGGAAAAUAUUUUGAUGCUUGCAGGAAGUUGCCACAACACCAGACGCACCUAUGGUCCUCACAGAGGAAGACGUCAUCGGUCGGCCCGCAUCCAUAGUCUAUCAUGACAUUAUAAAGCAGCUGCUGGACUUCCUUAUUCUUCCAAUUGAAAAAUGCACAGUGAAGGAUUCCAUCACAAAGGCACCCUGUAAUGCAGCUAAGCCAUUUGAGGUUUCUGUAAAAUCAAGGUCGUCUGCUGUCAUUGCGGAAUGGAUAUGUCCAAAUGGUCACACUGUUUGGAAGUGGAGUUCACAGCGAUAUUUCAAGUAUGGAAUGCUCGCUGGGGAUUUUAUGUUGAGUGUGAACAUCCUCCUGUCUGGAAACAACUUCCGGAAAAUAGCUCUGCUCUUCAAGUUUAUGAACUUGGGGAUGAUAGACCCAAAUACAUUCUACAAAAUCCAAAACAAAUUUUGUCUGCCGAAUAUUGAAGAUUUGUGGAAGAGGGAGAGUAGCAAUGUCAUCAGCCAGUUGAGUUCAAAGGAAUCUGUUGUGCUCCUUGGUGAUGCUAGGAUGGACAGUCCUGGGUUCUGUGCCGAAUUCUGCACAUACACUACAAUGGAGAAUGACACAAAAAGAAUUGUGUCGACAGGUCGGAGGGAACUCUGUGGCUAUGGAGAAGGUGACAUUCAUGGAGACCAUGGACACUCUGUGUCCAAAGUUGGGGAAUGUGACGGAAUUUUGCACUGAUGCCAAUAUACAAAUAUCAGCACUUUUCAACAGUGGCCAAUACAAAGACUGUGGUGUGAAACACAGCCUGGAUAUCUGGCAUGGUGCAAAGAACCUUAGUAAAAAGAUUCUGGCUGCCGGACAUGAGAAGGACUGUGCCCUGCUUCUGAGUUGGAACAGAGACAUUUGCAACCACUUUUGGUACAGCUGUAAGGAAGCAGAAACGUUUGAAGCUUUCAACGAGUUCUGCAUCAUGUGACUGGCGUACAUGAGUGGUACUUUGGGGCCUGUCGACAUGGGCCUUUGGAGGAAGACAGGAAUAAAGAAUGGAUUCCAAAGGGCUCUGCAGCACACGAAAGACUCCAAAAGAUCGUUUAUGAUGCACGCUGGUUGAAAAACAUACCCAAGUAUCUCUCUUUCAGAUUGACCUCAGACCUGCAGUCCUUCCAUAACCAUAUUCUUAUGUAUGCCUCAAAGCGCUUCUGCUUCAAACCACCAGUGUACUAUGCUCGGACCCUGUUGGCAGGGCUGGAUUAUAACUACCACCUAACCGAGGAGCGCGAACAAAUGCUGAUGGCUCACAUCAGUAUGGCAGAAUUUUUAACAAAAGCUCUAAGAUGUGGCGGCUGUACACCAUCAAGAAUCCAAAAACCUACAAGUACAUCCCAGAUCUACAGAGCGCCAUCCUCCAUUCAAGACUUUUGGCUCCUAGGGGGAUGACAGGAAAGCAGCCUCUUGCACUUGAUGAUCCACGAAGGCUGGGGCUGUUGUCUGGUGUGGCUGCCCCAACAGUACAAGAAUUGAAGGAAAAGAAAGCCCACCGAGGGCUAGGUCAACCAUCUCACACAUGACCUGUCAGUAGAUGUGGUGCUUGAAGAGAAUAUGACUUUGGAAGUUUAGCUACAUAUAAAGGGGGCCAUAUCUAUGCUUUUUUCAUUUCCCCUGUACAUAAUGUGCCAUAUCAAACAUUUUCUGGUGAAUGUAUGCCAUGUAUAAAAGAACAGUAUAUAA